Non-coding RNA from Meleagris gallopavo (turkey), 506 nucleotides. The record is from RefSeq and is a predicted model, not a curated record. Lineage: Eukaryota; Metazoa; Chordata; Aves; Galliformes; Phasianidae.
UUGAAUCAUGGAAGAUCUCAGUAGUAACUCCUAAGUCAAUCAAUCAAAGCAACUCAUAACCUUCUAGAUUAUUUACUCAUCCUCAAUUUUUCCAAACUCCUUCAAUUUAAAACCCUGAUAAGAACUGAAGAUGAAGCUGGGGCAAAUUUAUUUAAGAAGAAAACUAAGAUGAAAGUCUGGAGAAUGGAUGUAUCCAACAUAUUGGAUUUCCUCCCCAUUCUGAGAGACGAGUCUCCUAGUAUUGUUUCGCUGCAACAUUUUGAGUGACUCAGAACUGUCUGACUAGAAAAUUCUGUCUAUUAAAGAGAAUAAGUAUAAACUCAGAGAUUGCCUGUCUGUAUCUAUCUUAGGAUAACUGGCUAUGUAUUAACUUCAGUUUGCUCUCCUACUGCUGAAACAAAAAUAUGACAAAUAAACUUGCCAAACACCAUCCUUACUAUCAUUUGGAGACAGGAAGUAUGCGCAUAUGAGAGAGAAAUAAACCACAGCAUUUCCUCUUGGCAUGC